GAGCAAUGACGGAUUUCUGCGCUCACCGUGAUUGGUUGGGUCCAUCACAGCCCGUCUGAUUGUGCGGACGACAAGAUGCGUAUCUGAGCUC
This 91-nucleotide small nucleolar RNA is filed under the name Sorghum bicolor (sorghum). RNAcentral describes it as "snoRNA snoR114". It matches the Rfam family "small nucleolar RNA snoR114". Lineage: Eukaryota; Viridiplantae; Streptophyta; Magnoliopsida; Poales; Poaceae. The record is from Rfam by way of RNAcentral.